CACAGAUGACACCCUGCCUCACAGGAGAUCAAAGACUCAGCACUGACCAGGAAAAAAAAAUCAGAGACAAAUCCUUCAUAUACGGUUAGACAGAGGAAAAAAGACAUAUGAAACAAGAGAGCACACAAAGACCUGGAGAAAAGCAUAAAGACAAGAACCUUUAAGGUUUAAGGUCCAGUUAAUGUUGGGGAUCUGUGCUAGGAGGGCUGAGCUUCUGAUCCAGCUCCUAGGACUCCACUCCAUUGACUUCAUCUACCUGCUUCCAGUUUCCUGUGAUUUCCUUAUGAAGACAACUUCUAUGCAUUUACUUACCCGGAAGCUCACCUACACAUUCGGCAUCUAGACUCUGGUGAAACAUAGCCAUGGCCCCUUCAAUGACUCUUUGCCAUCCCGACUUUGAGGGCAAGUCUGUGUGUUCUCCCAGGAACCUUGGCUACUGCUGCCUUCAAAAACAAAAAGUGGUUCCGUGGCUGCCAAGGACUAGGUGUCAUUUAAAUCAAUCAGCCAAUGACAUUUAUUGAAGGCUUACUUCAUACAGAAC
This is a long non-coding RNA of Tachyglossus aculeatus (Australian echidna), 541 nucleotides long. RefSeq lists it as uncharacterized. The transcript is spliced from 4 exons. The record is from RefSeq and is a predicted model, not a curated record. NCBI's taxonomy places the organism in Eukaryota, Metazoa, Chordata, Mammalia, Monotremata, Tachyglossidae.